AUCCUCCCCAUGCAGGGAAGGAUGAGAAGCUUCGACUAAGGUUCGAUUCGAGCGCAGCGAGAAAGCGUUGCCGCAGGCAACGACCCGAAGGGCGAGGAGCAGCGCGACGAGUAAUCCUUCCCCCACCAUCA
RNAcentral lists this small RNA (131 nucleotides) under Phytobacter sp. RNAcentral describes it as "RtT sRNA". It matches the Rfam family "RtT RNA". Rfam says of the family: This family represents a bacterial cis-regulatory element known as RtT RNA. The exact function of RtT is unknown although it is thought that it may be involved in changing the cellular response in relation to amino acid starvation. The record is from RNAcentral. Lineage: Bacteria; Pseudomonadati; Pseudomonadota; Gammaproteobacteria; Enterobacterales; Enterobacteriaceae.